This 77-nucleotide transfer RNA is filed under the name Candidatus Mycalebacterium zealandia. RNAcentral's name for it is "tRNA-Gly". It matches the Rfam family "tRNA". From Rfam's summary of the family: Transfer RNA (tRNA) molecules are approximately 80 nucleotides in length. Their secondary structure includes four short double-helical elements and three loops (D, anti-codon, and T loops). Further hydrogen bonds mediate the characteristic L-shaped molecular structure. tRNAs have two regions of fundamental functional importance: the anti-codon, which is responsible for specific mRNA codon recognition, and the 3' end, to which the tRNAs corresponding amino acid is attached (by aminoacyl-tRNA synthetases). tRNAs cope with the degeneracy of the genetic code in two manners: having more than one tRNA (with a specific anti-codon) for a particular amino acid; and 'wobble' base-pairing, i.e. permitting non-standard base-pairing at the 3rd anti-codon position. Lineage: Bacteria; Pseudomonadati; Thermodesulfobacteriota; Candidatus Dadabacteria; Candidatus Nemesobacterales; Candidatus Mycalebacteriaceae. The record is from RNAcentral.
GCGGGAGUAGCUCAGUUGGCUAGAGCGUUUCCUUGCCAAGGAAAAGGUCGCGGGUUCGAAUCCCGUCUCCCGCUCCA